GUGUCAGCAGCCGCGGUAAAACGUAGGAGGCGAGCGUUAUCCGGAUUUACUGGGCGUAAAGCGCACGCAGGCGGCUUCGUGAGUCGGAUGUGAAAGCUCCUGGCUUAACUGGGAGAGGCCAUUCGAUACUGCGGGGCUUGAGGUUGGGAGAGGGGUGUGGAAUUCCCGGUGUAGUGGUGGAAUGCGUAGAUAUCGGGAGGAACACCAGUGGCGAAAGCGGCACCCUGGCCCACACCUGACGCUGAGGUGCGAAAGCGUGGGUAGCAAACAGGAUUAGAUACCCCCGUAGUCC
Molecule: ribosomal RNA, 292 nt
Filed under: uncultured bacterium
Lineage: Bacteria
Description: partial 16S ribosomal RNA
Rfam family: Bacterial small subunit ribosomal RNA
Source: RNAcentral